UAAAACAUCUUAUUUUAUUAAUUACGUGUGUUUUAUGUGCAAAAAUCUCAAUUUGUAAAGUGACUAGUAACUAAAGCUGUCAAGAUUAAUGUAGUGGAGUAGAAAUAGAAAGUGGCAUCAAAAGAAAAGACUCAAGUACUCCAAAUUUGUACUUAAGUACAGUACUUGAGUAGAUUACUUAGUUAUCCACCACUGCUGCCCAGUGACACGCCAUCGGACAACACGAUAUAUGGUCAAUAACAAAGAAAACAUUUAACUGCACAAUGUUAAGUUGGUUUACAUUUAUAAUGCUGGCAUACUCAGCCACUGGUGGUUGUUUUCAGGACGCAAAUUUGUGAUCGUACCUCUUUAAAAAGUAAAAUUACUCAAGCAUGUUCUUAUGAAAAGAGCCACCAGGUAUGUCUUGAUCUGAUUUGCAGAAAUAUGACACCGUCCUGCUCAUAUUCAUCUGUUAAAUACUUAAAAGAUAUUGCUGCCCCGGAGAAAAUUCAUUCAAAUGAAAUAUUUUUAUG
Long non-coding RNA from Etheostoma spectabile (orangethroat darter), 512 nucleotides. RefSeq lists it as uncharacterized. The transcript has 2 exons. Lineage: Eukaryota; Metazoa; Chordata; Actinopteri; Perciformes; Percidae. The record is from RefSeq and is a predicted model, not a curated record.